CGCCGUUUCGAAGUGUGAUGUUUGGCUGUGGUGAAUUUCUGCCGCCCAGACAUGGAAUCGUGCACCGCGAAUGGUGUACAAGCAUUAUGAAUAAAAACCGUAUGCAUAUUCAGAGUAUUUGAUACUAUUUUUCGAGACAGUCGUUUUAAACGAAUGCGGCAGAGUUGGUGUAGUUGCAAUCAAAAGAGUGACUCUCGGUCACGUGUCGACUGCAAUGGCAGUGCUGGGAGCAAGUGGAAGUUUGGAGCUUUGCAAAGGAAGAGCAUGCAAUAUGUUGUAAUGUUUUUCCUGCCUGCUGAGUGUCUGGGAGGCAGCUGGUUGGAGUCUGGUGUGAGAAAUCAGCUCUGUGAUGAGGCUUCCUGCAGAUGAUUUGAAGUGAGCACUUUAGAAUAAGCAUCAGUUCCUUCUGUCCAUAUU
Molecule: long non-coding RNA, 417 nt
Organism: Cryptotermes secundus
Lineage: Eukaryota; Metazoa; Arthropoda; Insecta; Blattodea; Kalotermitidae
Exons: 3
Source: RefSeq, a predicted model, not a curated record